UCAAGAAUCUUCCGCAAUGGCCGCAAGGCUGACGGAGCGACGCCGCGUGCAGGAAGACGCCUUUCGGGGUGUAAACUGCUUUUCUUAGGGAAGAAUUUGUGACGGUACCUAAGGAAUAAGAGGUUGCUAACUCUGUGCCAGCAGCAGCGGUAAUACAGAGACCUCGAGCGUUAUCCGGAUUCAUUGGGCGUAAAGCGUCCGCAGGUGGUAAAGUAAGUUACCGGUCAAAUCUUCGGGCUUAACUCGGAGACUGCCGUUAAUACUGCUUUACUUGAGACCGGGAGAGGCAAGCGGAACACACGGUGUAGUCGUAAUAAGCGCUGAUAUCGUGUGGAACACCAAAGGCGAAGGCAGCUUGCUAGAACGUGUCUGACACUCAUGGACGAAAGCGUGGGUAGCGAAUG
This 404-nucleotide ribosomal RNA is filed under the name uncultured bacterium. Its description in RNAcentral is "bacterial SSU rRNA". It matches the Rfam family "Bacterial small subunit ribosomal RNA", at positions 355 to 774 of the family's 1533-position model. The record is from RNAcentral.